RNAcentral lists this ribosomal RNA (253 nucleotides) under uncultured bacterium. RNAcentral's name for it is "partial 16S ribosomal RNA". It matches the Rfam family "Bacterial small subunit ribosomal RNA", at positions 524 to 776 of the family's 1533-position model. The record is from RNAcentral.
UACGUAGGGUGCAAGCGUUGUCCGGAAUUAUUGGGCGUAAAGAGCUCGUAGGCGGUUUGUCGCGUCUGCUGUGAAAACCGGAGGCUCAACCUCCGGCCUGCAGUGGGUACGGGCAGACUAGAGUGCGGUAGGGGAGAUUGGAAUUCCUGGUGUAGCGGUGGAAUGCGCAGAUAUCAGGAGGAACACCGAUGGCGAAGGCAGAUCUCUGGGCCGUAACUGACACUGAGGAGCGAAAGCGUGGGUAGCAAACAGG